AAAACUAUACUUUCAGGGAUCAUUUCAAUAGAAUAUGACUAGAGAAGUUUCUCUGAUCGUGUAGAGCACCCGAAGCUAUGAGGAGGAUUCAGAAUGUCGUCUCCUGAGUGAGAAUCCAGCUCUAGGUGUUGCUUCUGCGACUGCCUCUGCCAUUUAUGACUGCUUUUUCCCUUCCUUUGAAAGGGAUAGAGGGAGAGGAUGCAGUCUGAGUGGU
Molecule: small nucleolar RNA, 214 nt
Organism: Suncus etruscus (white-toothed pygmy shrew)
Lineage: Eukaryota; Metazoa; Chordata; Mammalia; Eulipotyphla; Soricidae
Product: small nucleolar RNA U3
Exons: 1
Source: RefSeq, a predicted model, not a curated record